GACGUAGGGUGCGAGCGUUGUCCGGAAUUAUUGGGCGUAAAGAGCUCGUAGGCGGUUUGUCGCGUCUGGUGUGAAAACUCAGGGCUUAACCCUGAGCCUGCUUCCGAUACGGGCAGACUAGAGGUAUGCAGGGGAGAACGGAAUUCCUGGUGUAGCGGUGAAAUGCGCAGAUAUCAGGAGGAACACCGGUGGCGAAGGCGGUUCUCUGGGCAUUACCUGACGCUGAGGAGCGAAAGUGUGGGG
RNAcentral lists this ribosomal RNA (243 nucleotides) under uncultured bacterium. Its description in RNAcentral is "partial 16S ribosomal RNA". It matches the Rfam family "Bacterial small subunit ribosomal RNA", at positions 524 to 766 of the family's 1533-position model. The record is from RNAcentral.